CAAUUGCCCGUCAAGAAAAAGCCUGGGAUUCCACUUGCCACAUGGUUUAAUAAUCUAACCUUAACUGUGUUUCUUGCAGUCUACCCAAUAUAAAUAUUCUCCCUGUUCCUUCAGAGUUCAGACAGAAUGAUACGUAACUAUAACUGUAACCACCAAUUGAAGCUCAUGUUACUUACUUGACUAGACAGCUAACCAUGUCGGCCGAUAUCUCGGAUAACAUGUCCGCCACCGCUAGAACGCUCAGCGAAAUAUCGGAGGUCGACACGGUGCGCCUCACUUUGGAUCUUGUAUCGGCUGCCAAACGAAAUGUCGGAUUCUUGAGAGCUGUGAGUGAGUCCCAAUGGCUGCAUGACAGAGCCACCGUUGUUGAAGCUAUACGAAGGUCAGCUGAUAAAUAUUUACUGUUCAUUGUGAAAAGUAAUCUAAUUGGACGGUGAAUAUGCAUUGAAUGUUCUAUCUUCGCUUUUAAUUUUGCAGGUAUGAUGAGCUUUGGAUGCCGUUGAUGUCUGAUCUCUUAGUGUUGGGGUCAACGCCUCCUAUGGUUCUUCCUCCUUUUGAUAUUGAAUGGGUUUGGUUCUGUCACACCUUGAAUCCGGUGAGUUACCGGCAAUACUGCGAGACAAGGUUCUCAAAAUUCUUAGGCAAGCCAGCGAUUUUCGAUGAGGAAAAUGAAGAGUACGCAUUAAUGAGAUGCAAGGAGCUUUGGAUGCGUAGAUACCCAAAUGAGUGCUUUGAGAAUCAAGUUGAUUCGAGCUUAUUACAAUCAGACCCAGUUGUUAAAAACGAAGAUCUAUUAAAUGAAGUUACGAAGCAGAGACUUCUGUGUAGUAAGGUUUCGUGGCCAUAUAUAAGUGAGCUUGUGUACUUGAUAGCUGCCAGACAAAGAUACAAGGGAUUCAUGCUGUAUGUGUUGCAGAGAUUCACAGAUGGGUGUUCUCGUAUAGUGCCUAGUUUGGAUAUCUUCCUAAUGUGGAUGACGCACCAGAGUUACCCAACUGUGUAUGCUGAGGAUAUGAAGGAGAUGGAGGGUGAAAUAUUGGGGAAGAUUGUGGGAAUGUGGCAGACUGUGAAAGAAAAAGAGGUAGAAGAGACAAAGAAACUAUGGGAAAAAGCCUUUGAUCAACCUUAUGAGAAAGCUGGUGGGACCAUAGAGUUUCAUGGGCUUGCUCCAUUUAAGCCACCAGUUUAUUGGGAAGUCUCUAAUUCAGAUGUUAACACCAAAUACAAGUCCUUGCUUCCAAGGUUCCUUCUAGAGGUGUGCAUUUUUGUGAGGCUCAAAUCUAGAAUGAGUAUAGAGGCAGUGCCAGAUGAUAAAAAACACAACUUUCUGCGUCUGCGAAUGCUAAGAUGCCACAGUGAGCUGAAGAUUGAUAAACCCAUGUCCGGUUUCUCCUUGGAUUCAUGGAAGAAAGCUUCUCAUCUCUAUUGUGAGUUUAACACAAAAGGACUAAUGCUUGAGCUGCAUAAACUUGGUGGUGGUUGCUUUAAAACAAGAAAAAUAGAAGACACUGCUACAUUUCUUUGGAAUGAUUUACUAAGAGCAAACUCUCUUACUAUGGAAAGAGAACUUGGUAAACAGAUGAGGGUUGUUCUUUCGAUAACCCCACCAGUUCAGGCAUCAUACUUGUUGAAAUGUGUUCCUGACAGAGUCACGGAUGAUUCAGGGGCUAUGGUAUCAGAUGUGAUUCUGAGAAUGAAUCAUUACAAGCCUCAAGAGGGUCGGUGGCUAUCUCGCACUGUUCUUGAUCAUGCAGGGAGAGAAUGUUUCGUAGUUCGAAUAAGGUAACCUUGUUUGGACGUAUUUUCUGUGGUUUUGAAUGAUUAGACCAUGUGAAAAUUCUUUUUUCAUUAGUUGAUAAGGUAAAUUUUGGAUUGAAUUCUAGAGUGGGAGGAGGGUUUUGGAGGAGAGGAGGUGAAACCCCAUCAGCUGUGAAAUGGGAGGAUAGGAUCAUAGAGGUACGCGAAGGUUCUUGGUCAUAUGUGGCUGGUUCGAUUGGUAAAGCACCUGGUAAUAUGUUGUCUAUUAGUCAUGCCAUUGAUGACCUUAAUCAUUUCUUUUGGAUCCUCCAUUCUUUGUGAAGUUGAUUUGGUGGUGGUGUUGCCAUCUAGUACAGAGAAAGUAGUAGGAACAGCUACACCAAAAGAGCCUCAAGAAAAUUGGCAAGCUUCUUGGUGUUUCUCAACAGGAGAAGAAUUUUCAGUAAGUUGGCAAUCACCAUCAACAUCAUUGUGUGACCUGAGGUUUUGUUUAACAAAUCAAACAUCUCCAGAUUCAACGGUGAAACUGUUGAAAGGGAGGAAAAUGCAAUAUCAAGCCAAGAAAAUUAGAUCAGAAAGUAAAGAACUAGAGAAGCAGAACAAGGAAGUAAAUAACAAUGAAGAGGAAGAAGAAGAUGAGGAAGGCUCUGUGACGCUUGUUCGGUUCACAGAAGAUAACCCAACCGGAAGAGCAACAGCUCUACUCAAUUGGAAGUUACUGAUAAUUGAAGUAUUGCCUGAAGAGGAUGCAGUUCUGGCAAUUCUACUGUGCAUUUCAAUCCUUAGAAGUGUAUCAGAAAUGAGAAAGGAAGAUGUGGGAAACUUACUGAUUAGGAGGAGAUUAAAAGAAGCAAAACUUGGAAGCAGAGAUUGGGGUUCAGUGAUACUUGAUCCUUCUUCUUUUUCAUCAUCAAUUUCUUCACCUUAUCUUGAGCCCUGGUAUUGGAAUCCCAAAGCAGUUGUUACAUCAGAGACAGGUCCUAAUGUAACAAGGCAACCUGCUACUAAUUAUUCUCCAGUAGAAGGUGGUGAUAAGUUGUAUAAGCGUGGGAUUAUCACAUAACAAAAAUAACACAAAUUCAUAUGAGUGAAAACUAGUUUGGAAUCUGUAGGCAUCAUCUUAGUUGGGCUUUGCCAAGCUUCUUGGGACUGAAUGGGCUUUGUAUCAAGUAUCCAUAUGAAUGGUGGCCCAUAGGAAACAAGUGGAAGAUGACCUCCAAGUCCAUAGAAGAGGAAGUGGGUUGGGUUUUUUUUUUAAUAGAGGGAAAAGGCAAACAAAGAAUAAAUCUAAUUUUAUUAGGUGAGUGGUAUGUUUUCGCUAUUUAAAUUUGCAUUGUAUUUUGUAAUGAGAUUUUUUUUUAAAUAUUUUUAAGGAAGACUUUAUUGUUCUAGAGAAAUGUGGAAUGUGGUUCGGUUUCCAUGGAUUGAAUGGUUAGAAUAUAUUUUAUACAGAUUAUUCAGAAAAAGAAGAAAAAAG
RNAcentral lists this unclassified non-coding RNA (3235 nucleotides) under Hevea brasiliensis (rubber tree). The record is from RNAcentral. Lineage: Eukaryota; Viridiplantae; Streptophyta; Magnoliopsida; Malpighiales; Euphorbiaceae.